CCUGAAUACAUAGGGUAAGGAGGCGAACCGGGGGAACUGAAACAUCUAAGUACCCCGAGGAAAAGAAAUCAACCGAGAUUCCGAAAGUAGCGGCGAGCGAAAUUGGACUAGCCCUUAAGCUUUACACGCGUUAGACGAACGGUCUGGAAAGUCCGACGAUACAGGGUGAUAGUCCCGUAGUUGACGACGUGUGUUCAGUGAAAUCGAGUAGGGCGGGACACGUGAUAUCCUGUCUGAAUAUGGGGGG
Molecule: ribosomal RNA, 247 nt
Filed under: Vibrio parahaemolyticus
Lineage: Bacteria; Pseudomonadati; Pseudomonadota; Gammaproteobacteria; Vibrionales; Vibrionaceae
Description: partial 23S ribosomal RNA
Rfam family: Bacterial large subunit ribosomal RNA
Source: RNAcentral